Molecule: ribosomal RNA, 294 nt
Filed under: Triticum aestivum (bread wheat)
Lineage: Eukaryota; Viridiplantae; Streptophyta; Magnoliopsida; Poales; Poaceae
Description: partial small subunit ribosomal RNA
Source: RNAcentral
GGGAAUGGGAUUCGUGAUAUUCACUACUUCAACUUGGCUUUGCUUGCCAAGCAGGCAUGGCAUCUUAUUGAUAAAACCGACUCUUUGUGUGCUAUAAUCCUAAGGGCUAAGUAUUAUCCUGGCGGUGAUUUGUUGAACACCAAAUUAAAAAAAGGCUCUUCAUUUACAUGGCAAAGUAUAAUGGCCGGGACGGAGUCCCUAAAACGCAGCUACAUUUGGCGAGUGGGAAUGGUCAAAAUAUCAAUAUUUGGGAAGAUGUAUGGAUCCCAAACUGUGCCACAAGGAAAAUUGUGA